GCCGAAGUAGCUCAGUUGGUAGAGCACCUCGCUGUUACUACGAGGUUGUCCCAGGUUCGAGUCCUGGCUUUGGCG
Molecule: transfer RNA, 75 nt
Filed under: Halostagnicola kamekurae
Lineage: Archaea; Methanobacteriati; Methanobacteriota; Halobacteria; Halobacteriales; Natrialbaceae
Also listed under: 1 other name
Description: tRNA_Asn_GTT
Rfam family: tRNA
About the family: Transfer RNA (tRNA) molecules are approximately 80 nucleotides in length. Their secondary structure includes four short double-helical elements and three loops (D, anti-codon, and T loops).
Source: RNAcentral